This is a long non-coding RNA of Astatotilapia calliptera (eastern happy), 1192 nucleotides long. The record is from Ensembl. NCBI's taxonomy places the organism in Eukaryota, Metazoa, Chordata, Actinopteri, Cichliformes, Cichlidae.
CAGUCAAACCUGCAAAUCUGAACCUGUGUAUCUGUGAGUGUUGUGUCUAUCCUGUUAACCGGAGCUUUUUGUGUGUAAAUUUCAUCUGGAACCUGAUUACGGACUACGAGAGGAGUGGCAGUGGAGAAGGAGUUGGAGUUUUGUACAGAAAGUGUGGAGAACGUCUGUUUGUAUCUGCUUUGUAACUGACUUCAGUCACAGACUGCUGCAAAUGCGUGCCUUAUUCCUCUCAUGGCUCGGAAAUUUUUAUUAUUUAAUACACACUUCACAUCAGACAUUUUGUACCCUGCUGACUGUUCAGUACACUGAGGUUAUUUCAGUUUUCCUUUGUCAGUUUUUUCUGACAAACUUUCAUACGCCUGCAUUACUCCUGUAUUGUCAUGGUUCGGCUGUGUGGCAGGCAGGAGAAGGACCCAAACGCAAACUCACGGAGACAAAACGUAAACUCAAAAACACAGCUUUAAUGCUGGCAAAAGGUGAAACACAAAAACAACACUGAACUAAACUGGGAAAGCUAAACAUAAAGUAUACCAGGAACCACGGGGAGAAUCACACACAGCAUGAGGGAGACUACGACACAGAACUGAGGGAGACGCAGACAUAAAUACACAGAGGGUUAACGAGGGAAGUGGGAGCACACGGGGAACACAGCUGACACAGAUAAUCAUAACGAGACAGGGCAGGAGUGAACACAACAUGACGCAUACUGACGAGAGACUGUCAAAGUAAAACAGGAAGUACACAGAGGUUCAGACAGGAGGAGAGAGUACGGGGAGAACACAGACAUAACAGGCUGGGGGAAACAUGGAAUAAAACACGAAAGGGGACAAGGGCUCAUGAAUACAUAGAGGGGCACACAGGGGGUGAGAGUCACAAAGGGAAAGCACACAGGGAACCACAUAACAGGGCAACUCAGGAAACAGAACCUAAACAGGGAACUGAAUACAAAAAUACAAGAGAACUAAGAAUACUGGGCCAACACGGCCCAGGACCAUGACAUGUAUUGUGUUCUCUGCACCUGUUCAAUUUUCUUUGCACUGAUCAUCACUUGCAUUCAAUCUGUUUAGUACUUUUAAUUUUUAUUUAAGUGUUUGUCUUAUAGUAUGUCUCACGCAAAGUACCGCAGCAAUUUCCUAAUGUUGUAAAUCUGCUUAACAUUUGGCAAUAAAACCAUUUCUGAUUUUGAUUCUGA